ACCUUCUUCCCCUAACCCUCUCAGCUCUCUCCCUCUCAUCUCUCAUCUCUCUCUCCCUUGGUGAAUCACCACCGAGACACCACCACCACACAAACCUUUCGCCAUACCGACGAACUCUAGACCAUCACACCACCGGACUAUUAUUAGCUCAUCCUUACGAACUUAACCCCAAGUUUGGGUUACUGGAAUCGAGCCUUCGAGCUCAAAUGGAGCUCUGUUUUGGAUAUGGAUUCCCGACGAGAUUCCAUGAAUCCUGACCAAGGUUUCAGUAGCUGAGCUUUCGUAUUGACGAGGAUUCGUGGAAAAUCUUGAUAUUGGAGAUUACCUUCAAUGGCUAAACGCAUCGCAAGGACUCUCGAUGCUACAAGGCGGGUUUGACGCGAUGACAUGAUUUGUGAGUGGGUCUUUACUUUUAAAUAUUAUAUAUUUAUUUAGUUUCCAAUUAUACAUUUGAAAAUGAAUUUCCUACGCAUGCCUAGAUUAGACUAAUGCUUAUAAGAAUUAGCAAAAUAACGAAAAAUUAUGAAAUUAUCAGAAAUCCUACGGGAUACACAAGUGUGCAUACUUUAUGGGGUUUUAAUGACGGCCAUGAAUAAUAUCGUAUUUAUUACUAUUAUGUCAAUAUGAAUUAUCGAAUUACUGUGGCAUGACUAUAUUUAUGUUAUCUGCUCAUCGUUUGCUACAUUGGUGUUAGUACUCGCUCAGGCCAAGGCUAGUCUUGCACGUGCAUGUGCAUAUUGCACUGUACGCUCACUUUGGAUUCAUUGUAGGUGCCAGUCCUGUCCUAGAUUGUUGUAGGCAAUUAGGACUCGUUUGUGAUGUGCAUAGCACCAGUUUUCACAUGAUUGUAGUACUAGAGCGUAUAUCAUUGUUACACCCAGUUCUGUUCAUGU
This is a long non-coding RNA of Pyrus x bretschneideri (Chinese white pear), 893 nucleotides long. RefSeq lists it as uncharacterized. The transcript is spliced from 3 exons. The record is from RefSeq and is a predicted model, not a curated record. NCBI's taxonomy places the organism in Eukaryota, Viridiplantae, Streptophyta, Magnoliopsida, Rosales, Rosaceae.